UUGAUAGGUUAAGAGCUGAUUAACUGGACGUUACCCACAGAAGAAGCACCGGCUAACUCCGUGCCAGCAGCCGCGGUAAUACGGAGGGUGCGAGCGUUAAUCGGAAUUACUGGGCGUAAAGGGUGCGUAGGUGGUUGAUUAAGUUAUCUGUGAAAUUCCUGGGCUUAACCUGGGACGGUCAGAUAAUACUGGUUGACUCGAGUAUGGGAGAGGGUAGUGGAAUUUCCGGUGUAGCGGUGAAAUGCGUAGAGAUCGGAAGGAACACCAGUGGCGAAGGCGGCUACCUGGCCUAAUACUGACACUGAGGCACGAAAGCGUGGGGAGCAAACAGGAUAGAUACCCUGGUAGUCCACGCUGUAAACGAUGUCAACUAG
This 374-nucleotide ribosomal RNA is filed under the name uncultured Legionella sp. RNAcentral's name for it is "bacterial SSU rRNA". It matches the Rfam family "Bacterial small subunit ribosomal RNA", at positions 445 to 819 of the family's 1533-position model. Lineage: Bacteria; Pseudomonadati; Pseudomonadota; Gammaproteobacteria; Legionellales; Legionellaceae. The record is from RNAcentral.